AAGCGAGUCGCGGGCGCUCCAAAAAUCCACGCACGAGCGUUUCGACACAGGAGUUUUAGUGUCCUUCAAAAAGUUACUAACAAAGAACAGGAACUUCAUCAUUCUUUGGAACGCCUAUGGUCUGAUUGUUAGCAUAUCUAACUCGGUGGGGGCAAUUUUGAAUCCGUUGUUCUUAACUCACUUCAAGGUAACGCUACUUCCGACUCUGCACGUUCCUGCAGUGCCCUCAGUUAUAUUUAACCGUCUUUCAGAACUGCGAAGUUGAUGUAGGAAUAAUGUUACUUUUGCUGUGCUUUGUGGGUACCAUAGGUUCGUUAAUAAUCGCAUCAAUUCUCGACAAAACGAAGAAAUUCAGAGUCAUCGCCAUCACCGUGAGCAUUUCGUCCUUAUUUUGCGAAAUACUUUUCGCUACGACCUUGAAUAUGGAAAUUAAAUGGAUGGUUUUUCUGUCAGCUUCGCUUUUCGGCAUUACUCUGCUCAGUUUCAGCGCGAUUGGAUUUGAAUUAUGCGCCGAAGCGACUUACCCCGAGUCUCAGGCACUAUCGACAGGAAUUUUGAGCACAGCGGGCCAAAUAUACGGAGCUUUCGUAACUCCUCUUAUCCUCAAGGUGAUAGACGUUUACGGUGACACGGCUGGACACGCGGUCAUUCUAGCAAUUCUCGGCCUAGGAACUCUGUUGACAAUAUCGAAUAAAAUCGAUCUGCGCAGGCAAAGAGCUGAAGAAUCUACCAUGCGAUAUAAUCCGCUGAGUCAAGGAGUAUUGCGUAAGAUUGACAAGUGAUAUUGAUUUUGUUAAUCUUCAUCCACGAUUCGAGUUUACUU
Long non-coding RNA from Neodiprion fabricii, 823 nucleotides. RefSeq lists it as uncharacterized. The record is from RefSeq and is a predicted model, not a curated record. The transcript has 3 exons. NCBI's taxonomy places the organism in Eukaryota, Metazoa, Arthropoda, Insecta, Hymenoptera, Diprionidae.